RNAcentral lists this ribosomal RNA (434 nucleotides) under uncultured Escherichia sp. RNAcentral describes it as "bacterial SSU rRNA". It matches the Rfam family "Bacterial small subunit ribosomal RNA", at positions 958 to 1393 of the family's 1533-position model. Lineage: Bacteria; Pseudomonadati; Pseudomonadota; Gammaproteobacteria; Enterobacterales; Enterobacteriaceae. The record is from RNAcentral.
AACGCGAAGAACCUUACCUGGUCUUGACGUCCACAGAACUUUCCAGAGAUGGAUUGGUGCCUUCGGGAACUGUGAGACAGGUGCUGCAUGGCUGUCGUCAGCUCGUGUUGUGAAAUGUUGGGUUAAGUCCCGCAACGAGCGCAACCCUUAUCUUUUGUUGCCAGCGGUCCGGCCGGGAACUCAAAGGAGACUGCCAGUGAUAAACUGGAGGAAGGUGGGGAUGACGUCAAGUCAUCAUGGCCCUUACGACCAGGGCUACACACGUGCUACAAUGGCGCAUACAAAGAGAAGCGACCUCGCGAGAGCAAGCGGACCUCAUAAAGUGCGUCGUAGUCCGGAUUGGAGUCUGCAACUCGACUCCAUGAAGUCGGAAUCGCUAGUAAUCGUGGAUCAGAAUGCCACGGUGAAUACGUUCCCGGGUCUUGUACACACGC